GUGUCAGCAGCCGCGGUAAGACGAACCAUGCAAACGUUAUUCGGAAUUACUGGGCUUAAAGCGUGCGUAGGCGGCUCAGAAAGUUGGGUGUGAAAUGCCUCGGCUCAACCGAGGAAUUGCGCCCAAAACUACUGGGCUUGAGGGAGUUAGAGGUGAGCGGAACUCACGGUGGAGCGGUGAAAUGCGUUGAUAUCGUGAGGAACACCGGAGGCGAAAGCGGCUCACUGGGGCUUAUCUGACGCUGAGGCACGAAAGCUAGGGGAGCAAACGGGAUUAGAAACCCGAGUAGUCC
This 292-nucleotide ribosomal RNA is filed under the name uncultured bacterium. Its description in RNAcentral is "partial 16S ribosomal RNA". It matches the Rfam family "Bacterial small subunit ribosomal RNA", at positions 505 to 796 of the family's 1533-position model. The record is from RNAcentral.